UUCUGAUUAACGGACCUCUGGACUUUCUGCAAUUUAUUCCAUUUAUUUCACGCUGAUAAACACAAACUAAUAGGUUGCGGCGUUCUCAUAUUGUCGUCUUUGAUAGAUCUAGGGUUCGUACUCUUAAGCUGUGAUUAAGUCAUCAAACUCCAAUGGAGGUUGUUAGAGGUUCUCCGUCUCAGUUAUUCGUCUGGAAUCACUGCGUCGGUCUCUUUUGUAAUGUUUCGUUCCUGAUUCAUCUCCUCUGUUACGUUACGGUAUUAAGUGUUCAUCUCCAUUACUAGCGCUCUUUACUCUUAAGACCUACGCCUCACGAUUCCUCAUUCAGUACUUCUCAUCUCCCUUACAGACGGUGAAACUCGACCUAUAAAAUGCGUUAGAAGAAAGAACAAGCGCUCUUCGGUGGCGUGUUUUCAGUUUGAAUUUCUCGACAUUUUUGGUUUAACACAGUCAGAAAAUCAAAGCUAACUAAGAGAAUAUAUCCUCAAUUAAUUAGAAACUCAUAUCAUAUGUGGUUUAUAAUGGUUUGUCAUCAUAAUCGUGGUAUGUAAACGUUAUACUAAUUUCAUAAGUCAGCCAUCAAGUACUUUCUGGAAUAGUUAAUUUUGGUACAGAGUCAUUUCAGGACUUAACAUAGCUUAAGCAACUCUAUUUCAAGCACUGUUAAAACAAUGAUGGUGUUAUCUGGUUUACUUCUACAACAAUAAAACGAUAUUUUUUAUGAUAACUGUACCUAAUUUUUGCUUAUUUCUUCCUGGUCAGAUUGAUACACACUCUAAUGCGGAAGCUACUAAGAAAUUUUGGAUAUGGGAUAUUAUUCACUGCAUCAGAUGGAGGAUUUUAUUAAUCAGCAUGUGUUGGCUGAAGAACACCAGUCUAGAAAAAGUGAAAACUAUGAGAUGGUGUCACUUAAUGGAAGGAUGUAGGAAUAUCCAUCGAGAAACCAUGAACUCAAGUGGUUCUCCAACAAGGGAUGUCAUGAAAAUACCUUUUGAACUGAGGCUUACUCAUAUGUACUUUUUUAUUGUUUUGUCUUAUACAGUAUAUUAUCUCUAAAACAAAUCAAUGAAAC
Molecule: long non-coding RNA, 1072 nt
Organism: Brassica oleracea var. oleracea
Lineage: Eukaryota; Viridiplantae; Streptophyta; Magnoliopsida; Brassicales; Brassicaceae
Exons: 5
Source: RefSeq, a predicted model, not a curated record